GAUGAAGAACGUAGCGAAAUGCGAUACUUGGUGUGAAUUGCAGAAUCCCGUGAACCAUCGAGUCUUUGAACGCAAGUUGCGCCCGAAGCCAUUAGGCCGAGGGCACGCCUGCCUGGGCGUCACACGUCGUUGCCCCCCCAUCUACUCCUUCGGGAUUGCGGGGGGCGGAUGAUGGCCUCCCGUGCGCCUCGCCGCGCGGUUGGCAUAAAUGCCAAGUCCUCGGCGACGCACGCCACGACAAUCGGUGGUUGCGAAACCUCGGUUGCCCGUCGUGUGCGGUCGUCGCGCAUCGAGGGCUCGAAAAAAUUGCCGGGUUCCGGCUCGGCUUUCAACGCGACCCCGGGUCAGGCGGGGUUACCCGCUGAAUUUAAGCAUAUCAAUAAGCGGAGGA
RNAcentral lists this unclassified non-coding RNA (391 nucleotides) under soil metagenome. RNAcentral's name for it is "partial contains 5.8S ribosomal RNA, internal transcribed spacer 2, and large subunit ribosomal RNA". The stretch from base 1 to 122 matches the Rfam family "5.8S ribosomal RNA", at positions 35 to 154 of the family's 154-position model. The record is from RNAcentral.